UCCGUAGGUGAACCUGCGGAAGGAUCAUUACCACACCUAAAAAACUUUCCACGUGAACCGUAUCAACCCAAUAAUUUGGGGGUUUAAUUGGCGGCUGCUGCUGGUAUCUUUUUACUGGCUGGCGGCUGCUGAGCGAACCCUAUCGUGAGCGUUCUGACCUUGGUUGGAGCUAGUAACUUAAAUUUUAAACCCAUUCUUAAAUACUGAAUAUACUGUAGGGACGAAAGUCUCUGCUUUUAACUAGAUAGCAACUUUCAGCAGUGGAUGUCUAGGCUCGCACAUCGAUGAAGAACGCUGCGAACUGCGAUACGUAAUGCGAAUUGCAGGAUUCAGUGAGUCAUCGAAAUUUUGAACGCAUAUUGCACUUCCGGGUUAUCCCUGGAAGUAUGCCUGUAUCAGUGUC
Molecule: ribosomal RNA, 403 nt
Filed under: Peronospora effusa
Lineage: Eukaryota; Oomycota; Peronosporomycetes; Peronosporales; Peronosporaceae
Description: partial 18S ribosomal RNA
Rfam family: 5.8S ribosomal RNA (bases 250-403)
Source: RNAcentral